Molecule: unclassified non-coding RNA, 338 nt
Filed under: uncultured fungus
Lineage: Eukaryota; Fungi
Description: partial contains 5.8S ribosomal RNA and internal transcribed spacer 2
Rfam family: 5.8S ribosomal RNA (bases 1-133)
Source: RNAcentral
UGGUUCUCGCAUCGAUGAAGAACGCAGCGAAACGCGAUAGGUAAUGUGAAUUGCAGAAUUCCGUGAAUCAUCGAAUCUUUGAACGCACAUUGCGCCUUCUGGUAUUCCGGUCGGCAUGCCUGUCUGAGCGUCAGCAAAACCCUCAGCAACUAGUUUGCUGGUAAUGGGUGGGAAAAGCAGGGGCAAAGCACCCUAAUCCCCCCCCCACCUUAAACCUGCUGUGGCCUCAAGCUCUGCGGUCAAUAGAGUGGUAUUAAAAUACAUUUCUUGCGACCGGAUUGGCGAGAGGCGUUAAAACUCUUGAGUUUGACCUCAGAUCAGACAAGGAUACCCGCUGA